UGAGGCAUAUUGGUCAAUGGACGGAAGUCUGAACCAGCCAAGUAGCGUGCAGGUUGACGGCCCUAUGGGUUGUAAACUGCUUUUGCAUGGGGAUAAAGUUAGGGACGUGCCCCUAUUUGCCGGUACCAUACGAAUAAGGACCGGCUAAUUUCGUGCCAGCAGCCGCGGUAAUACGGAAGGUCCAGGCGUUAUCCGGCGUUAUUGGGUUUAAAGGGCGCGUAGGCUGGAUAUUAAGUGUGUUGUGAAAUGUAGACGCUCAACGUCUGACUUGCAGCGCAUAAUGGGUUCCGUGAGUACGCACAACGUGGGCGGGAUUCGUCGUGUAGCGGUGAGAUGCUUGGAUAUGACGAAGAACGAAGAUUGCGAGGGAAGAUGACGGGAGGGGAAAUGACGCUUAAGCUCGAAGGUGGGGGUGUCAAACAGG
RNAcentral lists this ribosomal RNA (424 nucleotides) under bacterium. Its description in RNAcentral is "partial 16S ribosomal RNA". It matches the Rfam family "Bacterial small subunit ribosomal RNA", at positions 355 to 776 of the family's 1533-position model. The record is from RNAcentral.